Molecule: long non-coding RNA, 409 nt
Filed under: Homo sapiens (human)
Lineage: Eukaryota; Metazoa; Chordata; Mammalia; Primates; Hominidae
Description: HSALNT0382807
Source: RNAcentral
GUGAUCAGCAAAAGCUCAGAAAGAGUGGUACUGAUGGAGAGGAUAAAUGCUUACCCAAACUCACAUAAGUUGGCAUAUCUGCAGGGAAACAUCACGUUAGCCUUUGAGGAGAGAGGCUAUGCAGGGAUCCAAACAAGAAAAUGUGUAACAAUUUCAGAAGUGGCAAAAAGCAACAACGAGAUGGAAAAAGAUGUGAAGGAUGUGACAGUGAAUGUGGGUCACCCCCAAGGCUCUUUGUGGCAAGACAACGCUGGAGCUUCUCCUUUGCAUGAAACUGAUUGAUGCUGCAAGGUCCUGAAGGAAGACAGAUGUUUUUUGUUUUGUUUUGUUUUAGUGCAGUUCUCCAGUAAAAAGAAAACCCAGGCGGUGAAUAAAUUCAGUCUUCUCCUUUGGGAGAAGUUCACUUCUA